Molecule: unclassified non-coding RNA, 240 nt
Filed under: soil metagenome
Description: partial contains 5.8S ribosomal RNA, internal transcribed spacer 2, and large subunit ribosomal RNA
Source: RNAcentral
AACAUCGCGCACCUGCGGGAACCUGCGGAAGGAUCAUUAAUGAUUGGUGGCUGUUGCUGACUAGUGUUUCUAGUAUGUGCACGCCACACCUUCAAUCCCACUUACAUCUGUGCACCUUCUGUAAUAGAUCUAUGUGGAUACGGAGAUAUGAAAGUUUGCGCUCUCGUACUCUGUUGAAGCAGUCUACUACGUUUUUUUACACACACACAAUAGUCAUUGAAUGUAUUUUUUAUUCUUAUG